Molecule: long non-coding RNA, 378 nt
Organism: Ornithodoros turicata
Lineage: Eukaryota; Metazoa; Arthropoda; Arachnida; Ixodida; Argasidae
Exons: 4
Source: RefSeq, a predicted model, not a curated record
CGCGCUCCCAUUCGCUGGGGCCCCUGUCGCCUCCACGUGCGAACUAGAGAAAGGAUGCUAUCACUGGAAGGUGGUGACUCAUAUGGGAACUUACCCAACGUUCCGGCGCUGACCACACCAUUUUUGUCGAGUCCAACCUGUUCUCUUCUUCAGCGGAAACACCUAAGAAAAGGUAGCCCCAUUAAAGAGCUGCAGCGAACAGCUUCAUGUUAUCAGGAAGACGAUGUUUUAUCUCAGAAGGGCACGUCAUCAAACGCCAGUGGACAAAUCUCACCCCAGUCCCACCUGCUGACCUUCGACCUGGCAUGACGUGUUCGCCUCUUUGAAAGUUCGGAGUGCAUUUCGGGCUUCUUGGGGUGUCACCACACGUGGUUCUUC